This 329-nucleotide ribosomal RNA is filed under the name uncultured eukaryote. RNAcentral describes it as "partial 18S ribosomal RNA". It matches the Rfam family "Eukaryotic small subunit ribosomal RNA", at positions 1470 to 1796 of the family's 1831-position model. The record is from RNAcentral.
CCCUUAGAUGUUCUGGGCCGCACGCGCGCUACACUGAUGCAUUCAACGAGUCUAAAACCUGCUCUGAUAGGGGUGGGUAAUCUUUUGAAUGUGCAUCGUGAUUGGGGUAGAUGAUUGCAAUUUUUCAUCUUCUACGAGGAAUGCCUAGUAAACGCAAGUCAUCAGCUUGCAUUGAUUACGUCCCUGCCCUUUGUACACACCGCCCGUCGCUCCUACCGAUUGAAUGAUCCGAUGAAUAUCAUGGAUUGAGGAUGCAAGUAGGUUCGCCUAUCUUCAUCUUCGAGAAGUGAAGUAAAUCUUAUCAUUUAGAGGAAGGAGAAGUCGUAACA